AUGGCAGAAGCCAGCAGAGAGGCCAGCGGCGCAGCGCCUCCACCUCUCCACGUGGUGGUGUUCCCAUGGCUAGCGUUCGGCCAUUUCACCCCCUUCCUCGAGCUCUCGGAGCAGCUCGCCAGGCGCGGGCAUGCCGUCACCUUCGUCUCCACGCCGAGGAACGUGGCCAGGCUGAGGCCCGUCAGCCCCCGCAUCCGCCUCCUCCCCCUGCUCCUGCCUUGCGUCGACGGCCUCCCGGACGGUGCCGAGUCGACGGCCGACGUCCCGCCAGAGACGGUGGACCUGCUCAAGGUGGCAUUCGACGGCCUCGCCGCCCCUUUUGCCGGCUUUCUUGACGAGGCUUGCGCCGGCGGCGACGGUGCGACGGAGUUCGGCAAGAAGCCCGACUGGGUCUUCGUCGACUUCGCACACUACUGGCUCCCGCCCAUCGCUGAGCAGCACAAGGUACCGUGCGCCUUGUUCCACAUCAGCCCGGCGCCGUUCGUGGCCUUCAUCGGCACCAAGACGGCCAACGACGCGCACCCGCGGACGACGGCGGAGGACUUGAUGGCGCAGCCGCGGUGGAUCCCGUUCCCGACCACCAUCGCCCACCGUUUUCACGAGGCCAAGGACAUGCUAGUCCAGACGUUCCGCGCCAACGCGUCCGGCCCGUCCGACGCCUGCCGGCUCUGGCAGACGGAGCAGCGCUGCCCGCUCGUGAUCCUGCGCGGCAGCCGCGAGGUCGACGGCCCGCUCGGCCCCUUCCUCGCCGACCUCUUCGGCAAGCCCGUCGCCCUCUGCGGCCUCCUCGCCCCAAACGACGCCGCGCUCGCCGCCCAAGAAGGAGCCGCCCAUGUCGACAACGAGAGCGAGAGCGAGAGCGUGAGCCUCAUGCGCUGGCUGGACGAGCAGCCGGCGAGGUCGGUGAUCUACGUCGCGUUCGGGAGCGAGGCGCCGUUGAGCCGCCGCCACGUCCGCGAGCUCGCGCUGGGGCUGGAGCUCGCGGGCGCGCGGUUCCUCUGGGCGCUGCGGGGGCCGAGCGCCGCCCUGCUCCCGGACGGGUUCGAGGAGCGCGUGGGCGGGCGCGGCGUGGUGCGUGCCGGGUGGGUGCCGCAGGUGCGCGUCCUCGCGCGCCGCGCGGUGGGCGCGUUCCUGACGCACGCCGGGCUGAGCUCGCUCACGGAGAGCUUCCUGUUCGGCCACCCGCUGGUGAUGCUGCCGCUGUUCCUGGACCAGGGCGUGAGAGCGCGCGGCAUGGUGGCGAGGGGCGUCGGCCUGGAGGUGCCCAGGGACGAGGGCGACGGGUCGUUCGGCAGGGACGACGUGGCCGCGACGGUGCGGCGGGUGAUGGCGGAGGGCGAGGAAGGGAAAGCGUUCGCGCGCAACGCCGGGGAGCUCCAGGCGGUUCUCUGGACAGAGCGAAGCAGGACGAGUACGUCGACGAUCUGCGCCUGUGAUGCUGCCUCAGCGAGGCUGGAUGGCUGGCCUGCUUCUCGUGGGCAGUGA
Molecule: ribosomal RNA, 1485 nt
Filed under: Triticum aestivum (bread wheat)
Lineage: Eukaryota; Viridiplantae; Streptophyta; Magnoliopsida; Poales; Poaceae
Description: partial small subunit ribosomal RNA
Source: RNAcentral